CACAUGCAAGUCGAGGGGUAGCAGGGUAGCAAUACCGCUGACGACCGGCGCACGGGUGAGUAACACGUAUCCAACCUACCGUUUACUCGGGGAUAGCCUUUCGAAAGAAAGAUUAAUACCCGAUAGUAUAAAGAGUUCGCAUGUUCUCUUUAUUAAAGGAUUCCGGUAAAUGAUGGGGAUGCGUUCCAUUAGAUUGUUGGCGGGGUAACGGCCCACCAAGUCUUCGAUGGAUAGGGGUUCUGAGAGGAAGGUCCCCCACAUUGGAACUGAGACACGGUCCAAACUCCUACGGGAGGCAGCAGUGAGGAAUAUUGGUCAAUGGGCGUUAGCCUGAACCAGCCAAGUAGCGUGAAGGAUGACUGCCCUAUGGGUUGUAAACUUCUUUUAUAAGGGAAUAAAACGGGGAACGUGUUCCCCUUUGCAUGUACCUUACGAAUAAGGAUCGGCUAACUCCGUGCCAGCAGCCGCGGUAAUACGGAGGAUCCGAGCGUUAUCCGGAUUUAUUGGGUUUAAAGGGUGCGUAGGCGGAAUGAUCAGUCAGUUGUGAAAGUUUGAGGCUCAACCUUAAAAUUGCAGUUGAUACUGUCAUUCUUGAGUGUACAAGAGGUGGGCGGAAUUCGUGGUGUAGCGGUGAAAUGCUUAGA
Molecule: ribosomal RNA, 644 nt
Filed under: uncultured Bacteroidota bacterium
Lineage: Bacteria; Pseudomonadati; Bacteroidota
Description: bacterial SSU rRNA
Rfam family: Bacterial small subunit ribosomal RNA
Source: RNAcentral